AAAAAUGAAUCAAAUCAUCAUCAACCAAUGCUAAACAGAAGAGAAAUGAAGAUUACAAGUCAACAAGUCAAACAUAUUUUUUGGUAUUUUUUGAAUUAAAAUAAAAUAAACAAAAUAUGGUCAAACCUCAAAUUUUAUUCAAAUCAACUUCAACGAGUCCAAUUAAAUUCUCAUAGGUCUAACAUGGUCAAACAUACUUUGACAAAUUUUC
This 211-nucleotide long non-coding RNA is filed under the name Lathyrus oleraceus (garden pea). Its description in RNAcentral is "Pisum sativum (pea) long non-coding RNA (PSAT_LNC002154)". The record is from RNAcentral. Lineage: Eukaryota; Viridiplantae; Streptophyta; Magnoliopsida; Fabales; Fabaceae.